Mastomys coucha (southern multimammate mouse) is the source of this 194-nucleotide long non-coding RNA. RefSeq lists it as uncharacterized. The transcript has 3 exons. NCBI's taxonomy places the organism in Eukaryota, Metazoa, Chordata, Mammalia, Rodentia, Muridae. The record is from RefSeq and is a predicted model, not a curated record.
AUCAAAGCGUCAGUAACUCAUCACUGAUCAUUGCUGGGUGUGUGUUUUUGAGUGGGGCACGGAGAACAUAAGACUGAGGAGAUCCCUACAGAAGAUGUUGUCUUAUCUGGUGUCCUCAGGUACCACAGAAGCUCAAGUGCUGUCCUGUGUGAGAAAUCUGCAUGGUUGCAAGCCUAUUGAUGAGACAGACACAG